This 306-nucleotide ribosomal RNA is filed under the name uncultured Glomeromycotina. RNAcentral describes it as "eukaryotic LSU rRNA". The record is from RNAcentral. Lineage: Eukaryota; Fungi; Glomeromycota.
UUUCGGGUGCGAUUAUGUGGAGUGUGAGGAGCUUAAACACCUUCAUGUUUUGCAUAUUCGUACUCUUGGGUGUACUUGCCCGUGUGGUUGGUUAACAUCAAUUUUGGUGGUCAUAAAAUGACUGGAGGAAUGUAGCUUCGAUCUCGUAUUGAAGUAUUAUAGCCUUCGGUAGAUGUGAUGAUCGAGAUUGAGGAUUGCAACGGAUACCCUUCGGGGCUACCUGUCUGAUCUCUGAUCGUUGCUUUGGUGCCGAAAGCUUGCUUACGGUUAUCAAAGUCGAUGGUCAAUAGGUUAGAACGGGUUAAA